This is a long non-coding RNA of Cyprinus carpio carpio, 460 nucleotides long. The record is from Ensembl. NCBI's taxonomy places the organism in Eukaryota, Metazoa, Chordata, Actinopteri, Cypriniformes, Cyprinidae.
GGUUGAACAUAGAGGGUUUAAUUGUAUACUUUUGUUGGGUGCCGGCACAUAUUGGGAUAGUAGGAAACGAAAUAGCGGAUAAGUUAGCAAAAGAAGCGUUAAGGAAAGAAUUGAUAGAUAUUAAGAUACCUUUAGGAAGAAAUGAAGUUAGAUCAAUAAUUAACAGAGAAAUAACAAAAAUAUGGCAACAAAGAUGGGAUAGUAGCAGUACAGGUAGGUGGUAUUAUAGUAUUGUUAAGUCAGUAGGGAAAAAAGAAUCGUGCUAUGGAAGGCAUAGAAAAGAAGAAGUAAUGAUUUCUAGACUAAGGAUGGGGCAUACAGGAUUAAACUCAACACUGGCAUUAAUGGGAAAACAUGGAAAUGAUCCAUUAUUCAUGUGGGCAAGGUAUACAGUAGGUGGCGGUAAUUCUCCUAAGGAGUGAACGGCCAUAAAACGGAAGGAAGAAGGAGAAGAAGAAGA